This 467-nucleotide ribosomal RNA is filed under the name uncultured bacterium. RNAcentral describes it as "partial 16S ribosomal RNA". It matches the Rfam family "Bacterial small subunit ribosomal RNA", at positions 28 to 507 of the family's 1533-position model. The record is from RNAcentral.
GAUGAACGCUGGCGGCGUGCUUAACACAUGCAAGUCGAACGGAAAGGCCAGUGCUUGCACUGGUGCUCGAGUGGCGAACGGGUGAGUAACACGUGGGUGAUCUGCCCUGCACUUUGGGAUAAGCCUAGGAAACUGGGUCUAAUACCAGAUAGGACCAUGCUUUGGAUGGUGUGGUGGAAAGUUUUUUCGGUGUGGGAUGAGCUUGCGGCCUAUCAGCUUGUUGGUGGGGUAAUGGCCUACCAAGGCGUCGACGGGUAGCCGGCCUGAGAGGGUGUACGGCCACAUUGGGACUGAGAUACGGCCCAGACUCCUACGGGAGGCAGCAGUGGGGAAUAUUGCACAAUGGGCGCAAGCCUGAUGCAGCGACGCCGCGUGGGGGAUGACGGCCUUCGGGUUGUAAACUCCUUUCGCAACUGACGAAGCUUUUUGUGACGGUAGGUUGAGAAGAAGCACCGGCUAACUACGUG